CAUAGGUUAAUGAGGCGAACCGGGGGAACUGAAACAUCUAAGUACCCCGAGGAAAAGAAAUCAACCGAGAUUCCCCCAGUAGCGGCGAGCGAACGGGGAGGAGCCCAGAGCCUGAAUCAGUGUGUGUGUUAGUGGAAGCGUCUGGAAAGGCGCGCGAUACAGGGUGACAGCCCCGUACACAAAAAUGCACAUAUUGUGAGCUCGAUGAGUAGGGCGGGACACGUGGUAUCCUGUCUGAAUAUGGGGGGACCAUCCUCCAAGGCUAAAUACUCCUGACUGACCGAUAGUGAACCAGUACCGUGAGGGAAAGGCGAAAAGAACCCCGGCGAGGGGAGUGAAAAAGAACCUGAAACCGUGUACGUACAAGCAGUGGGAGCCUCUUAAUGGGGUGACUGCGUACCUUUUGUAUAAUGGGUCAGCGACUUAUAUUCUGUAGCAAGGUUAACCGAAUAGGGGAGCCGAAGGGAAACCGAGUCUUAACUGGGCGUUAAGUUGCAGGGUAUAGACCCGAAACCCGGUGAUCUAGCCAUGGGCAGGUUGAAGGUUGGGUAACACUAACUGGAGGACCGAACCGACUAAUGUUGAAAAAUUAGCGGAUGACUUGUGGCUGGGGGUGAAAGGCCAAUCAAACCGGGAGAUAGCUGGUUCUCCCCGAAAGCUAUUUAGGUAGCGCCUCGUGAAUUCAUCUCCGGGGGUAGAGCACUGUUUCGGCAAGGGGGUCAUCCCGACUUACCAACCCGAUGCAAACUGCGAAUACCGGAGAAUGUUAUCACGGGAGACACACGGCGGGUGCUAACGUCCGUCGUGAAGAGGGAAACAACCCAGACCGCCAGCUAAGGUCCCAAAGUCAUGGUUAAGUGGGAAACGAUGUGGGAAGGCCCAGACAGCCAGGAUGUUGGCUUAGAAGCAGCCAUCAUUUAAAGAAAGCGUAAUAGCUCACUGGUCGAGUCGGCCUGCGCGGAAGAUGUAACGGGGCUAAACCAUGCACCGAAGCUGCGGCAGCGACACUAUGUGUUGUUGGGUAGGGGA
RNAcentral lists this ribosomal RNA (1029 nucleotides) under Escherichia coli. Its description in RNAcentral is "partial 23S ribosomal RNA". It matches the Rfam family "Bacterial large subunit ribosomal RNA", at positions 165 to 1235 of the family's 2925-position model. The record is from RNAcentral. Lineage: Bacteria; Pseudomonadati; Pseudomonadota; Gammaproteobacteria; Enterobacterales; Enterobacteriaceae.